CGAGGAACAUGGCUGUGAACCACUGCUCUAGAGACUGAACAAGUAUACAAAUGCCAGGGUGAUUCAGUGGUUUGUAGCACACCAAGACUAUUACAUUGUGAAACACCAAGUUAUCAGUAAAGCAGAUUGUAUCUCUUAGAUGGAUCCGAUUUGACUGUGCCAAAGCAGGGACAUUCCGGUAGAACUGACAAACUUGGCAACACACUUGGAAAUCUGAAGAUGUCGACUUUGGAUGUAUAUUGUUUGAAGACAGGGAAGGAGCUCUCAGAAAUGGAUGACAAUCUCUCUGGGAGGUGAUUAGGGCUUGGAGUUGAACCACAGUCUGAGUCUGCACAGCAGCUAACAACAGAACCACCUGGAAGAGAAUCAAGACCCCAUCAUGACCCAAUAAAUAUAUGAACAUUGCAGUUUUCUGUUGCACACAGUCAAGCAUUUAUAAAGAAAUGAAGGCAGGGGCUAAAAGAUGUUUGACAUUCCGUGUUCCAACAACCUAUUUGUAAGUAAUAUCCUUCAUGUUUUGCUUUUCCUUUUCUUGUAAAGAGUCUUGCAUUUUUAUUGUUAAAAAUAAAUGUUUGAACAUUACAAAAUAAACCAGAUUGAACAUAUAUGAGAAAGUAUUUGGGCUCACAAAACAAGAUGGUAUCAGGAAAACUGAGCCAUCAUCACCAGCCCAGCCUGCCUCAUGUGACCAGAGCAACAAACUUUUGAAAUAUGAAUAAUGAGGUGUUGAAUAUAUGCAAAACCAGAACAAUACAAAAGCAGCAGUAAUCCAUUCCUAAUGAUCUUCUCUUAUCCUGAGGUCAUUUCUCACAGUUCAAGAAACUGCUGUCUGUCCACAUUGACUUGUAUAUUUCUGUUUUUAAUGUUUACUGCUUGCUAAAGUCUGGAUGUGUCUGGAAUGUUUCUUUCUAUAUGAAAGAGGGCGAGGACAUUUAUUCUCUGUUGUCUUCAUUUGUCUCAUUGGGUUUGGCUACACAAAUGCUGUCAGGAGCAUGUCAACGGCUGACUGAUGUGUAAUGCCCUACUCUUACUGUAACAACGUUGUGUCUGAUAUGUACAGUAUAUACCAGUUUUACAUUAAAUGAAAUUGACAUGCACUUUUGCAACACUUUCAUGGAUGUGCUUGUUUUGAGCUGACCCUACACACUUGAUAACUGGCAACUGGACAAUUGGAAAUUAGACUUUUAUUAUGUCACAACAUGUCAAUUAAAAAAAAAAGGUUCUAUAAAAAUAUUAACUGAGGUCCGAUUUGUUGGACCGUUUUUUGUGUUCUCAUGUGAUGAAAACAUUAAAA
This is a long non-coding RNA of Sinocyclocheilus grahami, 1294 nucleotides long. RefSeq lists it as uncharacterized. NCBI's taxonomy places the organism in Eukaryota, Metazoa, Chordata, Actinopteri, Cypriniformes, Cyprinidae. The record is from RefSeq and is a predicted model, not a curated record. The transcript is spliced from 3 exons.